AGAGGGGGGGAUCUUAGGACCUCUCGCUACAGGGGCGGCCGAUGGCAGAUUAGCUAGUUGGUGGGGUAAAGGCCUACCAAGGCGACGAUCUGUAGCUGGUCUGAGAGGACGACCAGCCACACUGGGACUGAGACACGGCCCAGACUCCUACGGGAGGCAGCAGUGGGGAAUUUUGGACAAUGGGGGCAACCCUGAUCCAGCAAUGCCGCGUGUGUGAAGAAGGCCUUCGGGUUGUAAAGCACUUUUGUCCGGAAAGAAAACGUUCUGGUUAAUACCCGGGGCGGAUGACGGUACCGGAAGAAUAAGCACCGGCUAACUACGUGCCAGCAGCCGCGGUAAUACGUAGGGUGCAAGCGUUAAUCGGAAUUACUGGGCGUAAAGCGUGCGCAGGCGGUCCGCUAAGACAGAUGUGAAAUCCCCGGGCUUAACCUGGGAACUGCAUUUGUGACUGGCGGG
Molecule: ribosomal RNA, 456 nt
Filed under: uncultured Burkholderia sp.
Lineage: Bacteria; Pseudomonadati; Pseudomonadota; Betaproteobacteria; Burkholderiales; Burkholderiaceae
Description: bacterial SSU rRNA
Rfam family: Bacterial small subunit ribosomal RNA
Source: RNAcentral